GGGUUGUGAGGUUAAGCGACUAAGCGUACACGGUGGAUGCCCUGGCAGUCAGAGGCGAUGAAGGACGUGCUAAUCUGCGAUAAGCGCCGGUAAGGUGAUAUGAACCGUUAUAACCGGCGAUUUCCGAAUGGGGAAACCCAGUGUGAUUCGUCACACUAUCAUUAACUGAAUCCAUAGGUUAAUGAGGCGAACCGGGGGAACUGAAACAUCUAAGUACCCCGAGGAAAAGAAAUCAACCGAGAUUCCCCCAGUAGCGGCGAGCGAACGGGGAGGAGCCCAGAGCCUGAAUCAGCAUGUGUGUUAGUGGAAGCGUCUGGAAAGGCGCGCGAUACAGGGUGACAGCCCCGUACACAAAAGCGCAUGUGCUGUGAGCUCGAUGAGUAGGGCGGGACACGUGGUAUCCUGUCUGAAUAUGGGGGGACCAUCCUCCAAGGCUAAAUACUCCUGACUGACCGAUAGUGAACCAGUACCGUGAGGGAAAGGCGAAAAGAACCCCGGCGAGGGGAGUGAAAAAGAACCUGAAACCGUGUACGUACAAGCAGUGGGAGCACCCUUUGGGGUGUGACUGCGUACCUUUUGUAUAAUGGGUCAGCGACUUAUAUUCUGUAGCAAGGUUAACCGUAUAGGGGAGCCGGAGGGAAACCGAGUCUUAAUUGGGCGUUAAGUUGCAGGGUAUAGACCCGAAACCCGGUGAUCUAGCCAUGGGCAGGUUGAAGGUUGGGUAACACUAACUGGAGGACCGAACCGACUAAUGUUGAAAAAUUAGCGGAUGACCUGUGGCUGGGGGUGAAAGGCCAAUCAAACCGGGAGAUAGCUGGUUCUCCCCGAAAGCUAUUUAGGUAGCGCCUCGUGAAUUCAUCUCCGGGGGUAGAGCACUGUUUCGGCUAGGGGGCCAUCCCGGCUUACCAACCCGAUGCAAACUGCGAAUACCGGAGAAUGUUAUCACGGGAGACACACGGCGGGUGCUAACGUCCGUCGUGAAGAGGGAAACAACCCAGACCGCCAGCUAAGGUCCCAAAGUCAUGGUUAAGUGGGAAACGAUGUGGGAAGGCCCAGACAGCCAGGAUGUUGGCUUAGAAGCAGCCAUCAUUUAAAGAAAGCGUAAUAGCUCACUGGUCGAGUCGGCCUGCGCGGAAGAUGUAACGGGGCUAAACCAUGCACCGAAGCUGCGGCAGCGACACUGUGUGUUGUUGGGUAGGGGAGCGUUCUGUAAGCCUGUGAAGGUGGCCUGUGAGGGUUGCUGGAGGUAUCAGAAGUGCGAAUGCUGACAUAAGUAACGAUAAAGCGGGUGAAAAGCCCGCUCGCCGGAAGACCAAGGGUUCCUGUCCAACGUUAAUCGGGGCAGGGUGAGUCGACCCCUAAGGCGAGGCCGAAAGGCGUAGUCGAUGGGAAACGGGUUAAUAUUCCCGUACUUGGUGUUACUGCGAAGGGGGGACGGAGAAGGCUAUGUUGGCCGGGCGACGGUUGUCCCGGUUUAAGCGUGUAGG
RNAcentral lists this ribosomal RNA (1487 nucleotides) under Salmonella enterica subsp. enterica serovar Senftenberg. RNAcentral's name for it is "partial 23S ribosomal RNA". It matches the Rfam family "Bacterial large subunit ribosomal RNA", at positions 1 to 1524 of the family's 2925-position model. Lineage: Bacteria; Pseudomonadati; Pseudomonadota; Gammaproteobacteria; Enterobacterales; Enterobacteriaceae. The record is from RNAcentral.